UACGUAGGUGGCGAGCGUUGUCCGGAAUUACUGGGUGUAAAGGGCGUGUAGGUGGGGAGACAAGUCAGAUGUGAAAUCCCAUGGCUUAACUGUGGGGCUGCAUCUGAAACUGUAUCUCUUGAGUACUGGAGAGGAAAGCGGAAUUCCUAGUGUAGCGGUGAAAUGCGUAGAUAUUAGGAGGAACACCAGUGGCGAAGGCGGCUUUCUGGACAGAAACUGACACUGAGGCGCGAAAGCGUGGGGAGCAAACAGG
RNAcentral lists this ribosomal RNA (253 nucleotides) under uncultured bacterium. Its description in RNAcentral is "partial 16S ribosomal RNA". It matches the Rfam family "Bacterial small subunit ribosomal RNA", at positions 524 to 776 of the family's 1533-position model. The record is from RNAcentral.